AUACCUAGUCAGAGAGAUACCAUCAUUAUGAAGGGGUUUUUACCAGGGUAAGGCUUAUCCAAUGAACGCCAGAUGUGCUGACCCCUGCAAUUACUUCAAAUGAUAAAAACUUGAUUGCAUAAUUUGUGGUAAUCUGGUACUGUGUUAACAACUUUCUC
This 158-nucleotide small nuclear RNA is filed under the name Mus pahari (shrew mouse). Its description in RNAcentral is "predicted gene, 22283 (MGP_PahariEiJ_G0033461.1)". It matches the Rfam family "U1 spliceosomal RNA". Rfam says of the family: U1 is a small nuclear RNA (snRNA) component of the spliceosome (involved in pre-mRNA splicing). Its 5' end forms complementary base pairs with the 5' splice junction, thus defining the 5' donor site of an intron. Lineage: Eukaryota; Metazoa; Chordata; Mammalia; Rodentia; Muridae. The record is from RNAcentral.